RNAcentral lists this long non-coding RNA (519 nucleotides) under Mytilus galloprovincialis (Mediterranean mussel). Lineage: Eukaryota; Metazoa; Mollusca; Bivalvia; Mytilida; Mytilidae. The record is from RNAcentral.
CAAAUGUCUUUUCAUACGACAACCAGGUGCUCCGCAGGGCGCAGCUUUAUACGACCGCAGAGGUCGAACCCUGAACAGUUGGGGCAAGUAUGGACAAAACAUUCUAGCGUGAUACAGCUCUGAAUUUGGAUUGUGAUCAAAUUUUUGACAUUACAUGGUUUUUUUUACACAAAACAAAUGUCAAGAUUUUACAAAUUUUACAAUUAAAGAUUUCUUCUUCAAACUUUUUAAAUCUAAAAUUAAAUAGUUGACACAGCAUAGGUUUCUGACACAGAAUGAAUGUGGUCUAAUGAACUUAAAAGUUUGUUUUUGCCUUUUAGCAAUUCACUAUGCUGUUGAAUAUUAAUCCUCUCAAAAAAAUGUUUGAAGAAAUUUUCUUUUUAUUUAUGAAAUCUGAAAUGAGAAAAAUUUAACCCCCCCCCCCCCCCCCUUUUUCACAUCCCCGUUUCCCUUUUUCCAAAACUGAUAUCAAUUCAAAUUUCUAAUGGAGUUUGCAACAAUAACUACUCUUUUAAAUAC